AGCAUAUCAAUAAGCGGAGGAAAAGAAACCAACAGGGGAUUGCCUCAGUAACGGCGAGUGAAGCGGCAAGAGCUCAAAUUUGAAAGCUGGCUCCUUCGGGGUCCGCAUUGUAAUUUGCAGAGGAUGCUUCGGGAGCGGCCCCCAUCUAAGUGCCCUGGAACGGGCCGUCAUAGAGGGUGAGAAUCCCGUCUGGGAUGGGGUGCCCGCGCCCGUGUGAAGCUCCUUCGACGAGUCGAGUUGUUUGGGAAUGCAGCUCUAAAUGGGUGGUAAAUUUCAUCUAAAGCUAAAUACUGGCCGGAGACCGAUAGCGCACAAGUAGAGUGAUCGAAAGAUGAAAAGCACUUUGAAAAGAGAGUUAAACAGCACGUGAAAUUGUUGAAAGGGAAGCGCUUGCGACCAGACUCGCUCGCGGGGUUCAGCCGGCCUUCGGGCCGGUGUACUUCCCCGCGGGCGGGCCAGCGUCGGUUUGGGCGGCCGGUCAAAGGCCCUCGGAAUGUAACGCCCCCCGGGGCGUCUUAUAGCCGAGGGUGCCAUGCGGCCAGCCCGGACCGAGGAACGCGCUUCGGCUCGGACGCUGGCAUAAUGGUCGUAAGCGACCCGUCUUGAAACACGGACCAAGGAGUCUAACAUCUACGCGAGUGUUCGGGUGUCAAACCCGUGCGCGCAGUGAAAGCGAACGGAGGUGGGAACCCCUCGGGGUGCACCAUCGACCGAUCCUGAUGUCUUCGGAUGGAUUUGAGUAAGAGCGUAGCUGUUGGGACCCGAAAGAUGGUGAACUAUGCCUGAAUAGGGCGAAGCCAGAGGAAACUCUGGUGGAGGCUCGCAGCGGUUCUGACGUGCAAAUCGAUCGUCAAAUUUGGGUAUAGGGGCGAAAGACUAAUCGA
RNAcentral lists this ribosomal RNA (884 nucleotides) under Penicillium javanicum. RNAcentral describes it as "partial large subunit ribosomal RNA". It matches the Rfam family "Eukaryotic large subunit ribosomal RNA", at positions 37 to 938 of the family's 3401-position model. The record is from RNAcentral. Lineage: Eukaryota; Fungi; Ascomycota; Eurotiomycetes; Eurotiales; Aspergillaceae.